Molecule: unclassified non-coding RNA, 418 nt
Filed under: uncultured Basidiomycota
Lineage: Eukaryota; Fungi; Basidiomycota
Description: sequence contains ITS2
Rfam family: 5.8S ribosomal RNA (bases 1-150)
Source: RNAcentral
AACUUUUGGCAAUGGAUCACUUGGCUCUCGCAUCGAUGAAGAACGCAGUCAAUUGCGAAAAGUAAUGUGAUGUGCACCCUUUGAGAAGCAUUAUACUCUUUGAACGCACCUUGCGCGCAUCUCACGAUGCGAGGUCCUGUUUGAGCGUGUAUUGAAAAAUACUAUUACUAGUUAUAUGGUUGCUAAUCAUCUUCUGGUGAGUGGCGGCUGAAAGACAUGCAGGGCCCGAACGACUCUAGGGCGCCACGGGCAGCAGCGCGACAAGCACCACUGCGAACCGAGGAACUGCGCGUGGUGUGCUUGUGUAGUCGUCUGUCAAGGCACACGCUACCAUGCACACUACAACCAUAACACACACUAGCACCUCAAAUCAGGAUAGAGGACCCGCUGAACUUAAGCAUAUCAAUAAGCGGAGGCU